RNAcentral lists this ribosomal RNA (224 nucleotides) under uncultured bacterium. RNAcentral describes it as "partial 16S ribosomal RNA". It matches the Rfam family "Bacterial small subunit ribosomal RNA", at positions 109 to 334 of the family's 1533-position model. The record is from RNAcentral.
CGUAACACGUGUGCAACCUGCCUUUAUCAGGGGGAUAGCCUUUCGAAAGGGAGAUUAAUACCCCAUAAUAUAAUGACUGGCAUCAGUUAUUAUUGAAAACUUCGGUGGAUAGAGAUGGGCACGCGCAAGAUUAGAUAGUUGGUGAGGUAACGGCUCACCAAGUCGAUGAUCUUUAGGGGGCCUGAGAGGGUGAUCCCCUACACUGGUACUGAGACACGGACCAG